This 449-nucleotide ribosomal RNA is filed under the name uncultured bacterium. Its description in RNAcentral is "partial 16S ribosomal RNA". It matches the Rfam family "Bacterial small subunit ribosomal RNA", at positions 338 to 795 of the family's 1533-position model. The record is from RNAcentral.
CCUACGGGUGGCUGCAGUGGGGAAUUUUGGACAAUGGGCGCAAGCCUGAUCCAGCCAUGCCGCGUGCGGGAAGAAGGCCUUCGGGUUGUAAACCGCUUUUGUCAGGGAAGAAAUGCUCUGGGCUAAUACCUCGGGGGGAUGACGGUACCUGAAGAAUAAGCACCGGCUAACUACGUGCCAGCAGCCGCGGUAAUACGUAGGGUGCGAGCGGUAAUCGGAAUUGCUGGGCGUGACUCGUGCGCAGGCGGUGAAAUCCCCGGGCUCAACCUGGGAACUGACUUUGUGACUGCAAGGCUUGAGGGCGGCAGAGGGGGAUGGAAUUCCGCGUGUAGCAGUGAAAUGCGUAGAUAUGCGGAGGAACACCGAUGGCGAAGGCAAUCCCCUGGGCCUGCACUGACGCUCAUGCACGAAAGCGUGGGGAGCAAACAGGAUUAGAUACCCCGGUAGUC